RNAcentral lists this ribosomal RNA (301 nucleotides) under uncultured bacterium. RNAcentral describes it as "partial 16S ribosomal RNA". It matches the Rfam family "Bacterial small subunit ribosomal RNA", at positions 509 to 807 of the family's 1533-position model. The record is from RNAcentral.
CAGCCGCCGCGGGAAUACAGAGGGUGCGAGCGUUAAUCGGAUUUACUGGGCGUAAAGCGUGCGUAGGCGGCUUCUUAAGUCGGAUGUGAAAUCCCUGAGCUUAACUUAGGAAUUGCAUUCGAUACUGGGAAGCUAGAGUAUGGGAGAGGAUGGUAGAAUUCCAGGUGUAGCGGUGAAAUGCGUAGAGAUCUGGAGGAAUACCUAUGGCGAAGGCAGCCAUCUGGCCUAAUACUGACGCUGAGGUACGAAAGCAUGGGGAGCAAACAGGAUUAGAUACCCCUGUAGUCCCUGUCUCUUAUAC